Molecule: ribosomal RNA, 760 nt
Filed under: uncultured bacterium
Lineage: Bacteria
Description: bacterial SSU rRNA
Rfam family: Bacterial small subunit ribosomal RNA
Source: RNAcentral
CCUCGGACACCAGGAUAGUCCGCCGAAAGGCGGGUUAAUACUGGGUGAUGUCCCGGUCUGGAUGGAUCGGGAUCAUAGGAUGGGGACCCUUCGGGGCCUGUCGGUCUGAGAGCGGCCUGUUUCCUAUCAGCUGGUUGGUGAGGUAAUGGCUCACCAAGGCGAUGACGGGUAGCCGGCCUUAGCGGGUGUCCGGCCUCACUGGGACUGAGACACUGCCCAGAGCCCUACGGGGUGCAGCAGUCUCGAAUCAUCCGCAAUGCGCGAAAGCGUGACGGUGCGACGCCGCGUGCGGGAGGAAGCCCUUCGGGGUGUAAACCGCUUUUCAGGGGUAUGAAGUCCAGCGGGUGAACAGCCCGUUGGAUUGACGUCAACCCUGGAAUAAGCCACGGCUAACUUCGUGCCAGCAGCCGCGGUAAGACGAAGGUGGCAAGCGUUGCUCGGAAUUACUGGGCUUAAAGCGGGCGUAGGCGGCCCGGUCAGUCGGGUGUGAAAACCCUUGGCUCAACCAAGGAACGGCGCCCGAUACUACCGGGCUUGAGGCGCUGAGGGGCGACUGGAACUCUCGGUGGAGCGGUGAAAUGCGUAGAUAUCGAGAGGAACGCCAAUGGUGAAGACAGGUCGCUGGUGGCGUCCUGACGCUGAGGCCCGAAAGCCAGGGGAGCAAACGGGAUUAGAUACCCCGGUAGUCCUGGCCCUAAACGAUGCACACUAGGUGGGGGAGGCUCUGACAGCCAUCCCUGCCGCAGGGAAACCGGUAAGU